CCCUUCGGGGUUAGUGGCGCACGGGUGCGUAACGCGUGGGAAUCUGCCCUUUGCUUCGGAAUAACAGUUAGAAAUGACUGCUAAUACCGGAUGAUGUCUUCGGACCAAAGAUUUAUCGGCAAAGGAUGAGCCCGCGUAGGAUUAGCUUGUUGGUGAGGUAAAGGCUCACCAAGGCGACGAUCCUUAGCUGGUCUGAGAGGAUGAUCAGCCACACUGGGACUGAGACACGGCCCAGACUCCUACGGGAGGCAGCAGUGGGGAAUAUUGGACAAUGGGCGAAAGCCUGAUCCAGCAAUGCCGCGUGAGUGAUGAAGGCCUUAGGGUUGUAAAGCUCUUUUACCAGGGAUGAUAAUGACAGUACCUGGAGAAUAAGCUCCGGCUAACUCCGUGCCAGCCGCCGCGGUAAU
RNAcentral lists this ribosomal RNA (407 nucleotides) under uncultured bacterium. RNAcentral's name for it is "bacterial SSU rRNA". It matches the Rfam family "Bacterial small subunit ribosomal RNA", at positions 76 to 524 of the family's 1533-position model. The record is from RNAcentral.